This 251-nucleotide ribosomal RNA is filed under the name uncultured bacterium. Its description in RNAcentral is "partial 16S ribosomal RNA". It matches the Rfam family "Bacterial small subunit ribosomal RNA", at positions 57 to 305 of the family's 1533-position model. The record is from RNAcentral.
GCAAGUCGAACGCGAAAGUUUUCUUCGGAAAACGAGUAGAGUGGCGCACGGGUGAGUAACGCGUAAGUAAUCUACCCUGGCAUCUGGGAUAACCCACCGAAAGGUGUGCUAAUACCGGAUACGUUGAUUUAUCAAGAAAGGUGGCCUCUGAUUUAAGCUACCGUGCCGGGAGGAGCUUGCGUACCAUUAGCUAGUUGGUGGGGUAAUGGCCUACCAAGGCGACGAUGGUUAACGGGUCUGAGAGGAUGAUC